UAUGAGUUUUAUUCUGGCUUGUAAUUAAUUUAUUGUUAUAUUAAUCUAUAUAUAUAUUAGUGUUAAGUGAUUAUCUAAAUGAUUGUGUUUUAGUUUGUAAUAUUUUGUAUUAGGUAUGAAGGAUACUUUGAUCUGGUAAUUAUUUAUAAAUAUUGAUAAAGUAUGUGCCAGCAGUCGCGGUUAGACAUGGAAUGUGAAUAAAUUUUAUUGGUUGUGUAGUUUAUAAUUAUGUAAUAUAAGGUAGAAUGAGGGUUAUUAGGUGGAAUUUUUAAUUUUUGGUAAUGUUGUGCUAGAGUAUGAUGCUAUGAAAUCAAGAUAAUAAACUAGGAUUAGAUACCCUAUUAUUUUUGAUUUAAAAUUUAAUGGCUUAAGUAGUAGUAGUUAUGGACUUGAAACUUAAAGAAUUUGGCGGUAUUUUAGUCUAUUUAGAGGAAUCUGUUCAGUAAUUGAUAAUCCGCAUUGAACCUUACUUAUUUUGUGUUUGUAUACCGUCGUUGUUGGGGAUCUUUUUAGAGUUUAUUUUCUAAGGAUUUAAUUGAAUAGUAUUUCAGAUCAAGGUGCGAUUGAUAAAUAAGUUGAAAUGGAUUACAUUAUUGUUUAUAUGUGGAUGAGUUAUUGUAAGUUAAUAGUGAAAAUGGAUUUAAUAGUAAGAAUUUAAAGAUUGUUAUUGUGAAACUAGCUCUAGAAUAUGUACACAUCGCCCGUCGCUCUCGUUAAUAAGGUGAGAUAAGUCGUAACAUAGUAGGUGUACCGGAAGGUGUAGCUAGAUUGG
RNAcentral lists this non-coding RNA (772 nucleotides) under Margattea cuspidata. Its description in RNAcentral is "12S ribosomal RNA". The stretch from base 370 to 766 matches the Rfam family "Microsporidia small subunit ribosomal RNA", at positions 752 to 1303 of the family's 1311-position model. The record is from RNAcentral. Lineage: Eukaryota; Metazoa; Arthropoda; Insecta; Blattodea; Pseudophyllodromiidae.